RNAcentral lists this ribosomal RNA (440 nucleotides) under uncultured bacterium. RNAcentral's name for it is "partial 16S ribosomal RNA". It matches the Rfam family "Bacterial small subunit ribosomal RNA", at positions 338 to 795 of the family's 1533-position model. The record is from RNAcentral.
CCUACGGGAGGCAGCAGUGGGGAAUAUUGCACAAUGGGGGAAACCCUGAUGCAGCGACGCCGCGUGAGUGAGGAAGUAUUUCGGUAUGUAAAGCUCUAUUAGCAGGGAAGAAAAUGCCGGUACCUGACUAGGAAUCCGCGGCUAACCACGUGCCAGCAGCCGCGGUAAUACGGAGGGGGCAACCGUUAUCCGGAGUUACGGGGGGUAAAGGGAGCCGAGUCGGGAUUGAAGGUCUGAUGUGAAAAGCCAGGGCCCAACCCCGGAACUGCAGUGGAAACUGUUUUUCUUGAGUGUGGGGGAGGCAAGUGGAAUGCCGGGUGUAGCGGUGAAAUGCGUAGAGAUCAGGAGGAACACCAGUGGCGAAGGCGGCUUGCUGGACGAUGACUGACGUUGAGGCUCGAAAGCGUGGGGAGCAAACAGGAUUAGAUACCCUAGUAGUC